GACGAACGCUGGCGGCGUGCUUAACACAUGCAAGUCGACCGGAAAGGCCCUGCUUUUGUGGGGUGCUCGAGUGGCGAACGGGUGAGUAACACGUGAGUAACCUGCCCUUGACUUUGGGAUAACUUCAGGAAACUGGGGCUAAUACCGGAUAGGAGCUCCUGCUGCAUGGUGGGGGUUGGAAAGUUUCGGCGGUUGGGGAUGGACUCGCGGCUUAUCAGCUUGUUGGUGGGGUAGUGGCUUACCAAGGCUUUGACGGGUAGCCGGCCUGAGAGGGUGACCGGCCACAUUGGGACUGCGAUACGGCCCAGACUCCUACGGGAGGCAGCAGUGGGGAAUAUUGCACAAUGGGCGGAAGCCUGAUGCAGCAACGCCGCGUGCGGGAUGACGGCCUUCGGGUUGUAAACCGCUUUCGCCUGUGACGAAGCGUGAGUGACGGUAAUGGGUAAAGAAGCACCGGCUAACUACGUG
Molecule: ribosomal RNA, 468 nt
Filed under: uncultured bacterium
Lineage: Bacteria
Description: partial 16S ribosomal RNA
Rfam family: Bacterial small subunit ribosomal RNA
Source: RNAcentral